GUACACGUACUUGGAUGUGACUAACUUCAUAGAGGGUGUGCAGUAGUACUGGUUGAUUUCAGGAACAAUGGCAGUCUGGCCCUCUUUGUCUGUCUUUCUUUCUGCUCUUUGCUCUGGAUGCUUCAGAGGCAGAACCUCUUACUGGCACAGGCGAAGGAACCUGUACCCUGGUCAGACACGAAACCUGUGAAAGUGAAUGGUCUGCAUAUAAAGGUAGAUGCUUCCGCUUUUUUAACUAUCAGCAUUCCUGGAUUGAUGCAGAGG
This is a long non-coding RNA of Cyprinus carpio (common carp), 264 nucleotides long. RefSeq lists it as uncharacterized. The transcript has 5 exons. Lineage: Eukaryota; Metazoa; Chordata; Actinopteri; Cypriniformes; Cyprinidae. The record is from RefSeq and is a predicted model, not a curated record.